This 670-nucleotide ribosomal RNA is filed under the name uncultured bacterium. Its description in RNAcentral is "bacterial SSU rRNA". It matches the Rfam family "Bacterial small subunit ribosomal RNA", at positions 8 to 688 of the family's 1533-position model. The record is from RNAcentral.
AGGGUUUGAUCCUGGCUCAGAACGAACGCUGGUGGCGUGCUUAACACAUGCAAGUCGAACGAGAAAGUUUCCUUCGGGAAAUUAGUAAAGUGGCGCAAGGGUGAGUAUCACGUGAAUAAUCUGCCCUCGAGAUCGGGAUAACAUGGUGAAAACUAUGCUAAUACUGGAUAAGACCACAUUUCAUAAGAAAUGCGGUAAAAGGAGUCUCAAUCUUCACUCGAGGAUGAGUUCGCGCAACAUUAGCUUGUUGGUGGGAUAAAAGCUCACCAAGGCUACGAUGUUUAGCCGGCCUGAGAGGGUGAUCGGCCACACUGGAACUGAGACACGGUCCAGACUCCUACGGGAGGCAGCAGUGGGGAAUAUUGCGCAAUGGGCGAAAGCCUGACGCAGCAACGCCGUGUGAGCGAUGAAGGCUUUAGGGUCGUAAAGCUCUGUCAAAUGGGAAGAAUUUUGACGGUACCAUUAGAGGAAGCCCCGGCUAACUCCGUGCCAGCAGCCGCGGUAAUACGGAGGGGGCAAGCGUUGUUCGGAAUUAUUGGGCGUAAAGCGUAUGUAGGCGGUUAAACAAGUCAGGCGUGCAAGCCCGUGGCUCAACCACGGAAUUGCGUUUGAAACUGUUUAACUUGAGUACAGGAGAGGAAAGCGGAAUUCCCAGUGUAGCGGUGAAAUG